GAUGAACGCUGGCGGCGUGCCUAACACAUGCGAGUCGAGCGAACGGACGAGAAGCUCGCGCUUCUGAUGUUAGCGGCGGACGGGUGAGUAACACGUGGAUAACCUACCUAUAAGACUGGGAUAACUUCGGGAAACCGGAGCUAAUACCGGAUAAUAUUUUGAACCGCAGGGAUCAAAAGUGAAAGACGGUCUUGCUGUCACUUAUAGAUGGAUCCGCGCUGCAUUAGCUAGUUGGUAAGGUAACGGCUUACCAAGGCAACGAUGCGUAGCCGACCUGAGAGGGUGAUCGGCCACACUGGAACUGAGACACGGUCCAGACUCCUACGGGAGGCAGCAGUGGGGAAUCUUCCGCAAUGGGCGAAAGCCUGACGGAGCAACGCCGCGUGGGUGAUGAAGGUCUUCGGAUCGUAAAGCUCUGUUAUUAGGAAAGAACAUAUGUGUAAGUAACUGUCCCCAUCUUGACGGUACCUAAUCAGAAAGCCACGGCUAACUACGUG
RNAcentral lists this ribosomal RNA (497 nucleotides) under uncultured bacterium. RNAcentral's name for it is "partial 16S ribosomal RNA". It matches the Rfam family "Bacterial small subunit ribosomal RNA", at positions 28 to 507 of the family's 1533-position model. The record is from RNAcentral.